ACAGAGGCAGGAUGACAGAGGAGCCCUUCUUCCCUCUCAGUCCCCCUCCUCACUCUCUCCCUUACCUCAUCUCUUGCAGGGCCUGGAGCAGAGUCCGCUGUCCAUAGAGCAGGGUGCCGACCUGGGCAGUGUUCUACAGGAGGGCCAACUCUUAUCCCGUGUCCCGAGUGCAGUGCCCUUUCCUCAGAGGGCAUCUUCCCCACGGAUACGUCACUCUUCUUCUAGAAGCCUUCCUAAACAGCCAUGGGUCUCCUCUGUUUGGCACACUGAGUCUCCCAUAGAACUUACCUACCUGGGCUUCUGCAGGCCCCUCCUUCCACACCAAAGGCUGCAAUCCAAACUAAGGGCCAGCACUGGUUAAAAUCCAGCACAUGGGUCCAAGUCUGGCAGAGUGACCUGGAGACAUAGUUGACACUCUGAGGAGUGGAGUCAUGUAAGUGGGGUUCAGGGUAUGAAGGCAGGAUCAGAGAUUCCAGGAGUGUGGGUCUCUGUGCCACUCCAACAGCCUAGCCUAGACUAUUCUGAACUGAGGACAAAAGAUUAAAGCCUUGGGCUGGCAGAGCCCAGCAAAACCUGCAUGAACGGCUGCUGGCUGGCUCCCUCUGCCCACUAGCCAGCACUUUGGUUGAGUUUACCUUUCACUCCCCAAGUCAGAGCAUGGCCUAUGGAAUGACACCUGGGGAGGAGCUAGGGUGGCAGCAGAGAUGAAAUGAGGAUUCUGGUGCAACUGAGCAUUUAAGCAAGUCUUAUGCAAAUCACACGUGAAGCCAUAUGCAAAUUAGAGCCUAGUCUAUUUCUGCCAUUUGUCUAUAGACCAGAUUCCAAAUACCUGGCAUGUCUUCUCUGCAGCCCAGCCCUGUGGCUCCAGGACAAUUGCUAUGUGUUAAUGUCCUCUUACAUACCUCCUUGUUGCAUGCCGUGACCUGCCCUCCUUUCCCUCUAAGCUUUGACGAGGCUAGCUCUAGACUGCCACUAUUCUUUCAAGCUGUGGAUAGUAACUAGGGUACCCCGGGGUCACUCACCCAGCCUCCUUCAGGCCUGACUUGAACUGUAGACCCUAGCUGCUGUUUCCACUGCCUCUCGGCCUGGUCCAGCUGCCUGGAGAGAGCCUGGAGGGCUUGCAGGAUCUGGCUUUGUCUGCCCAGUGUAUCCUCCAGGUCAAAGAACCCUUCCCCUAGGGAUUAGGGCAAAGCCAAGAUGGAAAGACCACUGGGGUGGGGAAAAUGAGGAGGUGUAGAUUCUGUUUCUAAGACCCUCCCCUGGAAAAUGGGUCUGGGGGCUGGCAAGCAGGGUGAGCAACAGAAAAAUGCUUGCCAGGAAAACUUGGAAAUGUAAUUUUGAUCCCCAAAUUCACCAGAACCCAUGUAAAGGUAGAAGGAGAGAAUAGAUUCCACAAAGUUGUCCUCUGACUGCCACACAAAUGUGUGCGCGUGCGCACACACACACACACACACACACACACACACACACUUUCCACGUGCACAUGCUCAUGUACACAAGCUGAAAAAUAAAAUGUGUCUGGGGGGUCAUAGGUCAGACUACUUGGUCCAGUUUCUGCUUAGAUACAGCCUGCUUGGGCCUCCACUUCUCCAUUGGUUAAUGGACUUUGUGUUCUAAGGUUCCUGUGGCCCUCCAAUGUGCCAUGGCCCCACCUGCCUGCUCCUUGGGUACUUACCUUCUUCCUGGGCUUUGGAGUCCAGCGGUUGAAUGCUGUCCUUGCUGGUACUCAGGGCCAGCCUUGUCUGCAGCCCUUUUAGCAUCCUGGUCAGGCGAAACUUCUCCUUCUCCAUGAAAGUCUGGGGGGCCACCUGAAAGAAAAAGACAGAAAGUCAACCCCAAAUGCAUGGGAGUCCUGUGAGGGCAGCCUUCCCCCAACAGCCUCAAGGUCCCGGGGAGCCCAGUCUUCCUCCCUAACCACAUACUCCCUGGGAUCAAAGAGGAACCCACAGCUCAACCACCAGGCCCCCAUGGAACCCCGCAGUCAUAUGAGCACCGUACCUACCUCAUCCUUACAUCCUUCUCUACUCACUGAGCUCAGGUCUUUGGACAUUUUAAGCCUUUGUGUAUGGUGCUCAUUUAGGCUCAUCUCCUCCUGGCAUCCUUCUCCCCCCUCCUCGCUGACUCAGACCCCUCUUUAGUGUUCCUUCUGUUCCCCUCUGACCCUGACCCUGGGUUGUUUUGGUUUUGUUUGUUGUUGUUGAGACAAUGUCCUAACUGUGCUGCCCUGACCUGGCACCCAGAGAGUGCUGGAAUUAAAGGUAAUUGUCAUCUAGGAAGCCUAGAGGACGAGCCCUGGCCCCUACACUACUCAGCCCAGAGCUUGACUUUGGCAAAGCUCAGAGAGCUAGCUGAGACAAGAACGAGAAGGGCAGAUCUAAGAUGCCCUGUUGUGAGUGGAGGCGUCUGAGGAGAGCCGCAUCUCAGGCUACCUCUCCCAGGCAGAAAGGGCUGGCGUUACCUCUGGACCUGGUUCCCACAAACUGAAGGUCAGGAAGGACAGGAUAUCAUGGUCAUCUGGAAGGGGGACAGAUGAAGGGGAGAUGAGGAGCUUUUUACCCAGAAGUUCAUCCAUCCAGACUCUACUGUUUUCUGGGAAAAUAAGAGGCUUGUAUGACUCUGGGCAACUCUGACCUUUGUCUCACAGGGAAGGUAUGAAGGUAAAUACCCAAGUGUGUGUGGAUAUGUGAGUUGAACCACACACAGCCAGAGUGGGUCCCAGCAGCCAUGCAGCAGACCACAGGGCACUGAAGGCUGCUACUGCAAUUGCAGGCACACAGUGGCUGCUUCCCAGCAUGCUUGUAGCCAUGCCACUCUUCCCUCCUUAGGAACCUUCCAUGGCUCCCCAGUACCCAGGGUCUAAAGACUAAAGUCUUGGUAGUCACAGAUUCCCACUCUCCAGUUGCAGCCUGCUUUUCAGUUGUAGGACCCUCCGUGGGCUCUCCACUGCAAGACAUCCUGUUAUUCCCUACUGUAGCUCAUGCUGUCCCCCUUUUUACCAUCCUACAGCACCUAAAGUGAAUUUACGGAGAUGGAUACUAGAAUAUAAAUUUUCUCAUUGCUAUCUCAUUUGAGACCUUUUUCGAGACAGGGUCUCUGUAGCCCGGGUUGACCUGUAAAUCUGCUGUGUAGCAGAGGAUAACUUUGAACUCCUGAUCCCCCACCUCUGCCUCCCAAGUGCUGUGAGUACAGGCAUUCACCACCACACCUGGGAUCCUGAAUGCUGCCUCAGCACUCACCAACAGAGCUACAUUACCAGUUUCCCAUUUGAGACUUUCAAUAGUCCUUCAAGGCCAAUGUGACCUCCUGAUGGAGAAGCCAGAGAAGGAGGGUGACCAGCCCAGCCCAGAUGAAGUAGUUAACACCAUACAAAGGUGUUUUAGAAGCUGCAAUAAAGUUUCAUCAUCACCAAA
This is a long non-coding RNA of Mesocricetus auratus (golden hamster), 3410 nucleotides long. RefSeq lists it as uncharacterized. The record is from RefSeq and is a predicted model, not a curated record. The transcript is spliced from 2 exons. Lineage: Eukaryota; Metazoa; Chordata; Mammalia; Rodentia; Cricetidae.